UGAUUUGCCUGCCAGGUGUAGCUCACACUC
This 30-nucleotide non-coding RNA is filed under the name Mus musculus (house mouse). Lineage: Eukaryota; Metazoa; Chordata; Mammalia; Rodentia; Muridae. The record is from RNAcentral.